CCAGGUGUAGCGGUGAAAUGCGUAGAGAUCUGGAGGAAUACCGGUGGCGAAGGCGGCCCCCUGGCCAAAGACUGACGCUCAGGUGCGAAAGCGUGGGGAGCAACCAGGAUUAGAUACCCUGGUAGUCCACGCCGUAAACGAUGUCGACUUGGAGGUUGUGCCCUUGAGGCGUGGCUUCCGGAGCUAACGCGUUAAGUCGACCGCCUGGGGAGUACGGCCGCAAGGUUAAAACUCAAAUGAAUUGACGGGGGCCCGCACAAGCGGUGGAGCAUGUGGUUUAAUUCGAUGCAACGCGAAGAACCUUACCUACUCUUGACAUCCAGAGAACUUUCCAGAGAUGGAUUGGUGCCUUCGGGAACUCUGAGACAGGUGCUGCAUGGCUGUCGUCAGCUCGUGUUGUGAAAUGUUGGGUUAAGUCCCGCAACGAGCGCAACCCUUAUCCUUUGUUGCCAGCGGUUAGGCCGGGAACUCAAAGGAGACUGCCAGUGAUAAACUGGAGGAAGGUGGGGAUGACGUCAAGUCAUCAUGGCCCUUACGAGUAGGGCUACACACGUGCUACAAUGGCGCAUACAAAGAGAAGCGACCUCGCGAGAGCAAGCGGACCUCAUAAAGUGCGUCGUAGUCCGGAUUGGAGUCUGCAACUCGACUCCAUGAAGUCGGAAUCGCUAGUAAUCGUAGAUCAGAAUGCUACGGUGAAUACGUUCCCGGGCCUUGUACACACCGCCCGUCACACCAUGGGAGUGGGUUGCAAAAGAAGUAGGUAGCUUAACC
This 771-nucleotide ribosomal RNA is filed under the name Enterobacter sichuanensis. Its description in RNAcentral is "bacterial SSU rRNA". It matches the Rfam family "Bacterial small subunit ribosomal RNA", at positions 669 to 1440 of the family's 1533-position model. Lineage: Bacteria; Pseudomonadati; Pseudomonadota; Gammaproteobacteria; Enterobacterales; Enterobacteriaceae. The record is from RNAcentral.